RNAcentral lists this long non-coding RNA (982 nucleotides) under Vigna radiata. RNAcentral describes it as "long non-coding RNA (VRAD_LNC001994)". Lineage: Eukaryota; Viridiplantae; Streptophyta; Magnoliopsida; Fabales; Fabaceae. The record is from RNAcentral.
GGCAAAUAAGUGGGUAGUUGAUGCAAACUUUCUGCACACGGGGGUCAACAUGAUAAAAAUGAUUCUUUUGUUUAAACUGAGCGGUUUCCAAACGGCGGAAGGAGACAACAAGGUACACCGGCGGAAGGAGACAACAGGGUAUGAUGGCUUAGGCAGUUUCAAAUGAUGGACCUGCGUCGAAAUGUGAUUCGUUGAUUGGCAAAGGGCGGUGGGCUUCCGUUAAACGGUGGGAAGAGACGCGAGCACUUUCCAAUCGGCGUUUUCGGGGGCUGAGCACUUUCCAAUAGGUGGCACAACGGCGGAUGGCAGUUCGGUAACCGUUGAACGGCGCGUGACAAUGGAAACGACGAGGAAGGUUUUGUCGCUGGAGUGUGAGCUUCUCUCUCUAGGUUUUUCAUUCACAAUCUCUCAAAUUCCAAUUUCAAAUUUGAAAAUGAAAACCAAGCUUCAGACCCCUCCAACUUCAUAAUCCACGUCAUUCUGUCUCUUUUUUCAUUAAAUAUAUGGACCACUGUUAACGGAUUGGGAAGCGUACCAAAUCGUAUCAAGUAAUAAUAAAUGGUAAGUCCAAGUAUCGUUUUCCCAAGAGACUCGAAAGGCCUUAACGUUCAUGUGAAUUAAGAUAGUAAGACUUGAAAAUAAAAUUAAUUAAUUGGAUGUGAGAAUAAAAUAUAAACAUGCAAAAAAGAUUGAUUCAAUUGACGAGAAGAAAACAAUGGAUGAAUGGAGUUGUUGGGGGUUUACAAUUUCAUCUUAUCCGUUCUAUCUUAUUUACUCCUCUUGAAUUAUUAGCUUGAUUAAUUAAUUUUCAUGCAACUUUCUUAGCCUACCCUUAACCCGAUGCCUCGGCGAAAAGAGCCUAUUACUAAUUACUGACUUGCUAUCCCUAGCCUCUCCUAGCAAUUAAUAAAGCAUUAUAGAGCAGAAUUUAAAAGCAAUUGAUCGUCCUACCCCUAUCCCUAGGUGGUAUUGCUUAAUCAAG